This 448-nucleotide ribosomal RNA is filed under the name uncultured bacterium. RNAcentral describes it as "bacterial SSU rRNA". It matches the Rfam family "Bacterial small subunit ribosomal RNA", at positions 329 to 794 of the family's 1533-position model. The record is from RNAcentral.
GACCAGACUCCUACGGGAGGCAGCAGUGGGGAAUAUUGCACAAUGGGGGAAACCCUGAUGCAGCGACGCCGCGUGAGCGAUGAAGUAUUUCGGUAUGUAAAGCUCUAUCAGCAGGGAAGAAAAUGACGGUACCUGACUAAGAAGCCCCGGCUAACUACGUGCCAGCAGCCGCGGUAAUACGUAGGGGGCAAGCGUUAUCCGGAUUUACUGGGUGUAAAGGGAGCGUAGACGGCUGUGCAAGCCAGAUGUGAAAGCCCGGGGCUCAACCCCGGGACUGCAUUUGGAACUGUGUGGCUGGAGUGUCGGAGAGGCAGGCGGAAUUCCUAGUGUAGCGGUGAAAUGCGUAGAUAUUAGGAGGAACACCAGUGGCGAAGGCGGCCUGCUGGACGAUGACUGACGUUGAGGCUCGAAAGCGUGGGGAGCAAACAGGAUUAGAUACCCGAGUAGA